CAUUUCUCCAAAGAUGUCAUACACAUAGCCAACAAGCACAUGGAAAGAGGUAAAUAUCAAUGAUCAUUAGGGAAAUGCAAAUCAAAACCAGUAAGGCAGCCAGGCAUGGUGGUGCAUGCCUGUAAUCCCAGCAACUCUGAAGGCUGAGACAGGAGUUCAAAGCCAGCCUCAGCAACUUAGCAAGGUCCUAAGCAACUGAGACCCUGUCUCAAAAGAUAGUGUAAAAAAGGGCUGAGGAUGUGGCUUAGUGGUUAAGCACAUCUGGGUUCAAUCCCCAGUAACCCCCGCACCCUGAAAUAAAAAAACCCAAUAAGGUAUCAUCACACAGCCAUUAGGAUGGGUACUAAAAAAAUGAACAAUACCAAGUGUUAGCAAGGAUGUGGAGAAAUUAGAAUCUUUGCAUACUGUUGGUACAAAUGUAACAUGGUGCAGCUACUAUGAAAAACAAUAUGGUGAUUUCCCCAAAAUUUGAAAAUAGAAAUAUCAUAUAGUACAGAAAUUCCACUUCAUGGUGUACAUCUUAAACAAUUAAAAUAAGGGUCUUAAAGACUCUUAUUUAUAGCAGCACUAUUCACAACCAAGAGGUGGAAGUAAUCCAAG
This 600-nucleotide long non-coding RNA is filed under the name Marmota monax (woodchuck). Lineage: Eukaryota; Metazoa; Chordata; Mammalia; Rodentia; Sciuridae. The record is from RNAcentral.